This 89-nucleotide non-coding RNA is filed under the name Lasius niger. RNAcentral describes it as "TPP sequence". It matches the Rfam family "TPP riboswitch aptamer (THI element)". Rfam says of the family: Vitamin B(1) in its active form thiamin pyrophosphate (TPP) is an essential coenzyme that is synthesised by coupling of pyrimidine and thiazole moieties in bacteria. The previously detected thiamin-regulatory element, thi box was extended, resulting in a new, highly conserved RNA secondary structure, the THI element, which is widely distributed in eubacteria and also occurs in some archaea. The record is from Rfam by way of RNAcentral. Lineage: Eukaryota; Metazoa; Arthropoda; Insecta; Hymenoptera; Formicidae.
UUAAUUAAGCAGGGGUAGCAUUGCUUGAGAAAAACCCUUCGAACCUGAACUAGAUAAUACUAGCGUAGGAAGUCUUAAUCUUUUUUUGA